Brachypodium distachyon (stiff brome) is the source of this 1634-nucleotide RNA transcript. RefSeq lists it as uncharacterized. The record is from RefSeq and is a predicted model, not a curated record. The transcript is spliced from 8 exons. NCBI's taxonomy places the organism in Eukaryota, Viridiplantae, Streptophyta, Magnoliopsida, Poales, Poaceae.
GCCUGCCCGCCGGUCGCCGCACGACGAGGGAAACCCCAGCGCUCCCACGGCAGCAGAGGCCCUCGCCGCUCGAGAGGGCCAAGGCCGACGCUUCCGAGCGCGCGGGCAGCGGAGGCGCUCGCCGCUCGAGGACGCCGAGGCCGACGCUUCCGACGGCGCGCACCGCUGGAUUGACGCUUCGCGCCUCGGCCCGCACAAGGUGGAUUUGCCAGGGGCAGGAAUGGCUGGUAAAAAAGAGACAAUACCCUUCGAGUUUGCAAAGCUUGAGAUCAAAAGAGGACAAUACGGUUCUUUUUUGGUAUUUUAUCAGAUGAACAAGCCCUCUAACCUUCCAAAAUCAGUCCAGCCGGCAAAAACAAAUUGGCCGAGGGUUUGUUUGGAUCUGGAGCUUCCACAUGAUUUGUCUCAACUUUCUGCUACGAAUGACUUGAAUCAUCCAAACAUCAUGCAUAUUGAAGCACUCAAAGAAGUUGAUGACAAACGAAUAGCAGCUUUUCUUGAAUGCCAUGAUGGUCCUCUUGUAAGACAUCUGCUCAAUAUAGACAUGGUUGACUGUGAUGGUGCUGAGUCAUGAGGCAAAUCGUUGAAUCCGUUGAAGAACUCAGAAAAAAUGGUUUCUGUCAUGGGAACUUGUGUCUGAAGAAUAUCUAUUACUUCAAUGGAAAGCAUGGAAUUGUCGUUAAACUUGUCAACCUUCAGAACCAAGGAUUGGAUCGCGGUGGGAUCCUUGCUUGAUGGUAUUUCAACUUCGGUGAAGAAAUGGCAUCCUCGAUACUCUUUCUUAGCCAUUGAUGAUGCAGCAAGGAAAUUAAUGGAAUUGACAAAUCCGUGAUGCAUUGCUGCAAGACAUAAAGAAGGAGACGGUCAGGCGUCCCUUCUUUUGGGAACCACAAAAGCGAGUAAACUUUUGGGUUCAUGAUAUUCCUAAAGCUUUAGGAAUUAAUUCUUUUGUGGCAAAAAUUUACAAUUAUCCUAAUUGGAGACUUCCUUGGAGUACGCGCAUUAAUCCACAACUUCUGAAAGCAAUGAACAAUUAUCGUAAAGAAAAGGCAGAAAAGGAGCGGGAAUCAUUGGAGAAUCAAAAUGAGCAACCGGAGGAAAAGGAUACUGAUUACAAUGUGAACGAUCCGCAGCAAUAUGUAAAAUGCAUAAGCGGUGCCUACAGUCAUGCCGAAGAGUUGCAUGGAAAGGUUUUAGCCGCAAAUGGCAAUCCUAUUCCGAUUGAUAGUGCAGUUCAAAGGUCUGAUCCAGAAUUAUGCAUUGUUCUAUAUAGUCUUCUUACAGACUAAGCUGAGCAUGGACAACCAGAUGUCAAAUGAGAGUAGACGAGGUCAGAGCAGGACAAGAGAUGAGAUGAAAGUUCGGAGCUUUUUGUGCGAGACAACAUGAUAAGCUAAGGACAGCUCGGCAGCCCUUGCGCUUCUCUUGGCAGGACAAACCUGUUUGUUUCGGUCUCGUGAUUCCAAAAUUUUGUAUGGUCAGUUGUUAUGUUUGAAGUUAGUUGCUGAUGCGGCACUCUUGGUGUCCCAUAAACCUAUUACAUUUUACUGAUGCUGCAUUCUGGAUGCUUGCUCUUGUGCUGGUCAGUUAGUUGUUAUGCUGCCUUUUCAUGGGGAUCGUUGGUGUCCCAUAAA